This 352-nucleotide ribosomal RNA is filed under the name uncultured Pseudomonas sp. Its description in RNAcentral is "bacterial SSU rRNA". It matches the Rfam family "Bacterial small subunit ribosomal RNA", at positions 1028 to 1382 of the family's 1533-position model. Lineage: Bacteria; Pseudomonadati; Pseudomonadota; Gammaproteobacteria; Pseudomonadales; Pseudomonadaceae. The record is from RNAcentral.
UCUGACACAGGUGCUGCACGGCUGUCGUCAGCUCGUGUCGUGAGAUGUGGGUUAAGUCCGUAACGAGCGCAACCCUUGUCCUUAGUUACCAGCACGUUAUGUGGGCACUCUAAGGAGACUGCCGGUGACAAACCGGAGGAAGGUGGGGAUGACGUCAAGUCAUCAUGGCCCUUACGGCCUGGGCUACACACGUGCUACAAUGGUCGGUACAAAGGGUUGCCAAGCCGCGAGGUGGAGCUAAUCCCAUAAAACCGAUCGUAGUCCGGAUCGCAGUCUGCAACUCGACUGCGUGAAGUCGGAAUCGCUAGUAAUCGUGAAUCAGAAUGUCACGGUGAAUACGUUCCCGGGCCUU